GAGUUUGAUCCUGGCUCAGAGUGAACGCUGGCGGCGUGCCUAAUACAUGCAAGUCGAACGAUGAAGCUUCUAGCUUGCUAGAAUGCUGAUUAGUGGCGCACGGGUGAGUAACGCAUAGGUCAUGUGCCUCUUAGUUUGGGAUAGCCAUUGGAAACGAUGAUUAAUACCAGAUACUCCCUACGGGGGAAAGAUUUAUCGCUAAGAGAUCAGCCUAUGUCCUAUCAGCUUGUUGGUAAGGUAAUGGCUUACCAAGGCUAUGACGGGUAUCCGGCCUGAGAGGGUGAACGGACACACUGGAACUGAGACACGGUCCAGACUCCUACGGGAGGCAGCAGUAGGGAAUAUUGCUCAAUGGGGGAAACCCUGAAGCAGCAACGCCGCGUGGAGGAUGAAGGUUUUAGGAUUGUAAACUCCUUUUGUUAGAGAAGAUAAUGACGGUAUCUGACGAAUAAGCACCGGCUAACUCCGUGCCAGCAGCCGCGGUAAUACGGAGGGUGCAAGCGUUACUCGGAAUCACUGGGCGUAAAGAGCGCGUAGGCGGGAUAGUCAGUCAGGUGUGAAAUCCUAUGGCUUAACCAUAGAACUGCAUUUGAAACUACUAUUCUAGAGUGUGGGAGAGGUAGGUGGAAUUCUUGGUGUAGGGGUAAAAUCCGUAGAGAUCAAGAGGAAUACUCAUUGCGAAGGCGACCUGCUGGAACAUUACUGACGCUGAUUGCGCGAAAGCGUGGGGAGCAAACAGGAUUAGAUACCCUGGUAGUCCACGCCCUAAACGAUGGAUGCUAGUUGUUGGAGGGCUUAGUCUCUCCAGUAAUGCAGCUAACGCAUUAAGCAUCCCGCCUGGGGAGUACGGUCGCAAGAUUAAAACUCAAAGGAAUAGACGGGGACCCGCACAAGCGGUGGAGCAUGUGGUUUAAUUCGAAGAUACACGAAGAACCUUACCUAGGCUUGACAUUGAGAGAAUCCGCUAGAAAUAGUGGAGUGUCUGGCUUGCUAGACCUUGAAAACAGGUGCUGCACGGCUGUCGUCAGCUCGUGUCGUGAGAUGUUGGGUUAAGUCCCGCAACGAGCGCAACCCCCUUUCUUAGUUGCUAACAGGUCAUGCUGAGAACUCUAAGGAUACUGCCUCCGUAAGGAGGAGGAAGGUGGGGACGACGUCAAGUCAUCAUGGCCCUUACGCCUAGGGCUACACACGUGCUACAAUGGGGUGCACAAAGAGAAGCAAUACUGCGAAGUGGAGCCAAUCUUCAAAACACCUCUCAGUUCGGAUUGUAGGCUGCAACUCGCCUGCAUGAAGCUGGAAUCGCUAGUAAUCGCAAAUCAGCCAUGUUGCGGUGAAUACGUUCCCGGGUCUUGUACUCACCGCCCGUCACACCAUGGGAGUUGUGUUUGCCUUAAGUCAGGAUGCUAAAUUGGCUACUGCCCACGGCACACACAGCGACUGGGGUGAAGUCGUAACAAGGUAACCGUAGGUGAACCUGCGGUUGGAUCACC
RNAcentral lists this ribosomal RNA (1490 nucleotides) under Helicobacter pylori Hp P-23. Its description in RNAcentral is "bacterial SSU rRNA". It matches the Rfam family "Bacterial small subunit ribosomal RNA". Lineage: Bacteria; Pseudomonadati; Campylobacterota; Epsilonproteobacteria; Campylobacterales; Helicobacteraceae. The record is from RNAcentral.